UGAACUUCAUCCAGUUUACCUCAGACCAUUUCUCCAAUUUGUCCAGAUCAUUUUGAAUUUUGACCCUGUCCUCCAAAGCAGUUGCAAUCCCUCCCAGUUUGGUAUCGUCUGCAAACUUAAUAAGCGUACUUUCUAUGCCAACAUCUAAGUCGUUGAUGAAGAUAUUGAACAGAACUGGUCCCAAAACAGACCCCUGCGGAAUGGGAGUGGGUAAACUUACUGAUCCUCCGAGUUCCAUACACUAAUCUUCAGAAGUUCAAGAGCUGCAAGACACACAACCUGUCCCACAGGGCAGCACCUACUGGAGUGUGGGGGUUCUGCCCUGAUGCCCCCCCCGCAGGACAGAAGCUGCUAGUCCCCCCACCCUGCUGCAGGACAGAAGCCCCGAGCUCUCCAUCCCAGUCUGGAAGAUAUGAAGCAUUUAAGAAAUCCUGCUUAUUCCUGACUUGUAAUACAUACAUUUGGAUCCUGCUUACAUGCUCAUCUACCCAAAAAAUUCUGACUUUCAGUCUGCCCCUUCUCAAUUACUUCACAACCCAGUCUUUUCUAGUUCAGUGGUUCUCCAGGCCUCCUGUUCUGCAGGCCACUAUGUAAGUGGGAGAUCACCGCAUUAUAGAAAUUAGACAUAGAAAAGAACUAUUAUGUUACCUAGUCCCUCCCCUGCCAGUGCAGGUGGUUCCCUACAGUAUAUUUCUAGUGCUAUGACCAGUCUAACAUUAAAAAAAAGCUCACAAAAUCCUUUCCCUCCCAACAUUUUCUAUCUAUUCUGAUGGACUCUGUCACCACAGUUUGAUAAGCUUCUAGAAUGUUCUAGAAAUUUUCAUGUUACUUUAAUUAAACUGAAAUAAUUUUUCAGAUCAGUACAAAUAAGAAAAAGAGAAGCCAACCUUCCGUGUAUUCUUUGGUUCCAUCCAGAGGAUCAACCCACACAACAAGCUUAAAAAAAGAAAAUGCACACAACACAAGAGGAAUCACAAAUCACGGAAAUUAAACUAUUAUAUAAAAGAGUACUAGUUAGCAGCAGUGAGAGGAGGAUAAACCUCACCAUUGUUAAGAAAUCUUACACUUAAAAUGCAAACAAAUUACAUUAGUGUUCGUAAAUGCUUAUUACAUAUAGGACUGAACAGCUCCAGGGAUUUGUAAAGAGAUAUUAGACUUUUCACCAGCUAUUCAGCUGGCUAUGUAAUGUGGAUUUGGUGAGCUCAGUCCAUUUUUUAUGGAAAGACGUCUACAUUUAAAACCUAAUAUCAACUCACCACCACUUGCACUAAUUAACAACGUUGCUUGCAAUCUCAGUAGAGAUGUCAAAGAUUAAUAAGAGUUCUGUAAACUUGUCUCUCUCACCAACUGAAGUUGUCCAAUAAAAGAAAUUACCUUGCCUACCUUGUGUCUCUAAUGUUCUGGGACCAACAUGACUACAACAACACUGCAUACAAGGAUUCAAUGGGCAUGGAAACUAAACUAUCCUCUCACUCCUAAAGGUGGUCCCUUUAGUAUAGCUCUGAUACACAUUCAUGGAACAUUACAGAGAAACCUGCUGCCCAUGCUACACCCAUUCUGUGGAUAAUUAGAGGGCUUCCAUUUUUAGUGCUGUCACUUUGAAAAUACUUCCUUUUUAAAUUGAAUGUGGCACUUAAACCAAAAGAUAAGCUGACAACAUCAAAAUUACACCUCUAACUCGAUAUAACGCUGUCCUUGGGAGCCAAAAAAAAUCUUACCAUGUUGUAGGUGAAACCGUGUUAUAUUGAACUUGCUUUGAUCAACUGGAGUGUGAUCACACACCUUCCCCCCAGCACUGCUUUACCGUGUUAUAUCCAAAUUUGUGUUAUAUCGGGUAGCGUUAUAUCGAGGUAGCGGUGUAUCUGUUUUAUUUCUUGGAUCUUUCUUAGAUAAGACUAAUAAGCUAUAUGGGGAUAUAAGAAAGUAAAUGUAAC
Long non-coding RNA from Gopherus flavomarginatus (Mexican gopher tortoise), 1934 nucleotides. RefSeq lists it as uncharacterized. The record is from RefSeq and is a predicted model, not a curated record. The transcript has 3 exons. NCBI's taxonomy places the organism in Eukaryota, Metazoa, Chordata, Testudines, Testudinidae.